GUUUUAGCUUAACAGAGAGAAAGACAGAAAGAGAGAGACAGAGAGAGAGAGAGAGAGACGUUAUUACGUUUUCAAUCAAUAAGGUUUCCCUUUUUUCUCUCUAAUUGCUAUAGAUAUGAGGAAGCAACGCAACUUUUUACUUGAAGUUCGAUAAGAGAUAUGGCAUUUAUAUAUAUAUAGGCUUAUACCCCGUGUCUAUAAAAUAAGCACGAAAUUACUAAUGCGGGUAAUUCUAUACUCUAGCUAAGUAACGUUAGUAAUUGUGUGCCAAGUUUCUGGCCGACUUUCUUAACGCUAUAAUUUUAACCCAAUAUUUUCCACCCACUUCGAACAACGCUAAUUUCGGAUCCCAUUUUUUCCACCUACUACGAUAAUGCUGGUGAUUCCGUAUCCAUUUUUCCAUCAAGUUCGGCAUGGCGAGUAAUUCCGUGCCAGUUUUUUUCAUCUAGUUUCAGUAACUCUAGGCUUUUUCCGCCAAGAUCAGUUCCGUGACCGUUUUCUCUCUCUCUUGUCCUGUCACCUAAACUGUCUUGUCACCGACUCUAAGUAUGAUAUAUAACCUAUAAAAAAAUUCUUGUUAGGCUGCAAAAUUCCCCGACUCUACCAUUAAAAUCUCGUGCGUUUAAGCCGUAUGUGCGGUCAGAUUAUGGCUUUUGUUCUGUAUGUCCAUCGAUGUAGCCAAUAAUCGUAUUGUAAUACCAUUACUGCCUUCAUCGUCCACACAACAUUGCGGUUGUGUAAACAGGUUUUGGUCACAAUGACGUUGUCUCGGGAGACUACAUCUUUUAUUUCACUCUCCGACGAUCGCUACUUGUUCUCUACAAAAUCGACUUUAGGUCGAUACUGUCUGGAUGUGAAUAAAUUGCACUUCUAUCAUCAGAAAUUUCCUGCUCGGAGAAGCAAAGCUGCCUAGCACAGCUUUCCGUCUCAAUCAAAUUUAUAUCGUAAUGCUCCUUUAACUUUUAAUUUCUGUCAAGAUUUUAUGAUUUCCAACCCGGCUCAUCUUCUAUAAAUAUAUAAAAAUUCCUUCGUCUCCCUCUUAUUAGAAAAAAAAAAGUUCUAAACAAUUCCAAAGUCGUGGAGAAGAAGAAAUUGGGGAGAUAAAUUCUUUUAAUCUACUUCGGAAGUUGAAUCGGGAUCGUUUUAAAAGCAUAAACUUUAAAAGAGAGAAGAAAAAAAAAAUGAUAAUUAGAAACAAUUUACAUUUAUAUUGAUAUCGAUUUUGCAAUUUUCUUGAUUAUUCUGUUUGUGUUUUGUCUAAUGGUUGAAUUUAUAUAUAUAUAUUUAUCUUUCUCUUUCGUUUCUCGCCGAGUUUAAUUCGUUAUAAAUAUAUUUUCGCCGGGGAAAUUUAAGCAGUUCGUGUUAAAUAUCAAAUAUUCAAAUGAAGAAUAACUUUACAUUUAAGUUCAGCAGGGAAAAAAAAAGACAAAUAUUACUCGGUAUGCGUGUUACGGAUGAUCUAUAGUUCAGAAGUUGCAUGUUUAGCGACUGGCGGUUUGUUUGAUGACGUGCGUGCGAACGUCACCGAAAAUCUUCCAAAUUAAAAUAUUUAACUAGUCAUCACGAGCGCUAGAUCAGCUGUAAACCAUUCGUUCGAUUCGUCCGCCAAAAAUAAAUUUAAUGACGUGUAAUCGGAAUUAAAUUUUAGUCCGUUCGAUGGUGUGAAGCGUAAAAAAAAAAAAAAAUUAUUUAUUUAUUCUUUUUGAGUGGAGCGAAAACAGAAACGGAUCAUCAGUCGACAAAAUCGUAAAGAAACUUUAAUUGUUGCCGUAGCGAAUAACAGAUUUUUCUAUCUAGAAAAUCGGAAAAAUUUUAAUUUGCCAUAACGGAGCUUAUAGUAGAAGUCCGUCGAAAGAAAAGAAACAGGCCGUAUAAUAAAAGAACGUUUAAUUGUUGUUACUCUUUAGGAAUUUUUUAUUUACUUAUUUAUUUUUUCUAGAACCUACCUGGGUCUUCUAUCAACAGUCUGUCGUCUGUUGCACCAUCUGGCGUCUUCCAUCGGUCAUUACACCCAUGCAAUUACACUGCAAUGUCCCUCGUUAUGUUUUAUAGCCGGACAGAUCACACCAUCGUGUGUUGGCUUAUUACGACCCUCCUCUGCUAGAAAUUUGCGGUUGAACCAUUGAUCCGACUCGAUAAUAUUACCAGGAAGCGAUAUAUCGAUUUUACUUUUUUUCCUACUUGUUAUACUUUUAUAAUAUUCUCUAAAUGCAUCUGCAUAGUCGGCAAACCGAUGAAUUAUUCCUAUCUUUCGUCUGACGUAGAAUAUUUAUAACGCCUUUUAACAUUUUAAAGCGGAUAAAAAUUCCUCAUAAAAAUUAUUAUUAUUAUUAAAACAACGAAAGUUUUAAUAAAUUUCGCUUUACUUCUCUCUGGUAACUUGUUCGAAUGCUUCAAUCUUGUUUAUCUACCUAGAGACGUUCGUCACUGGCAUUUAAACAAAUCAAUAAGGAACUGCAAGUUUAUGGAAAAGUUGACAGAAUGAAAAAAAAAGAAAACGUAUAUUACAAUAUAAAGAAAGGUGUAAAAAAUUUUGCAAAUCGUUAGAGAAUCGAUAGACAAAAUGUAAAUUUAUAGUUAAUAAGUCGAGUCGGCAUUGUAGAAAUUGCUCCAGCGAAACAAAAGAUGUUUUAAUGAUCAGAAGACACGGAAAUAAGGAGGAGGAUGCUACAGCAGCCAAGACAAGUCAGAUAAACGAACCCCUUAUCUGGUACAGGAAAUAGAGACGUCACUAGGUCCUUCUUGCCUUGUCACAAAGAUCACGUGCUGUCCAUCUAUCCACCAAUAGCGUGUCUUCUCUUUCUGUCAGCUGUCAUUUCUCUCUCGUGCCGGAUGAUUAUUUGUCACGUGAUGUGGAUCUUUUCCUUCGGCUCUUUCUAUCUCCAUCUAAUGUUCCAUCUAAAAUUCGCUAAUGUCCACAUUUCUUUUAUCUUUAUUAAACAUCCAAUAAAAUCGGAAAAGUUAUUUUCAGACUUUAUCAAUCUUUUUUUCUCCCCCUACCCUUUCCCUUUUUUUUCUCCUUCUUUUAUAAAACACAAAUGUCUUCCUACUAAAUAAGGAAUCCAUCUCGUUUCUUCUUUAAUUGGUCACUCCGCUAGUCUCCCAAUGGGUGGUGUUAUUUAUAAUUCGGAAAGCAACGAGAAAAAAAUUUUUCUAUUCUUUUUCCCUUUUUUUCCCCGUCGAAUGGAUAUCUUCUCCAACUAUCCCUUUUAAUUGGUCACACUGCCAAUCUUCCAAACGUUUAUAUAUAUAAACGAUUCAAAAAAUACGGGGGAAAAAAAAUCAUUCUUUUAACAACUUUUUUCCCUUUUUUUCCCUUCUUAUCGAAAGAAAUAUCCCUGUAAUUGGUCGUUCUGACACUCUUCAGACGGGUGAUAAUAUUUAUAAUUCGUAAAGAAAAUGGCGGAAAAAAUGAGAGAAGACUUUAAUUUGUCUUCUUCACCUCCUCUAUGGGAAUUUAAAAAAAAAGAGGCAAAAAUAAAACAAAAAAAUGACUUUUUGAUUACAGAGAUUAACUCUUUACUUUUCAUUAAGGCACAAUUUGUCGUAGAAA
This 3553-nucleotide long non-coding RNA is filed under the name Androctonus crassicauda. The record is from RNAcentral. Lineage: Eukaryota; Metazoa; Arthropoda; Arachnida; Scorpiones; Buthidae.